Molecule: ribosomal RNA, 253 nt
Filed under: uncultured bacterium
Lineage: Bacteria
Description: partial 16S ribosomal RNA
Rfam family: Bacterial small subunit ribosomal RNA
Source: RNAcentral
GACAGAGGUGCCAAGCGUUAGGCGGAAUCACUGGGCUUAAAGCGUGUGUAGGCGGAAUUGUAAGUACCUUGUGAAAUCCCACGGCUCAACCGUGGAACUGCUCGGUAUACUGCUUUUCUUGAGCCACUUAGGGGCUGUCGGAACAAACGGUGGAGCGGUGAAAUGCGUAGAUAUCGGGAGGAAUACCGAUGGCGAAGGCAGGUCUCUGGGCUGACACUGACGCUCAUGCACGAAAGCGUGGGGAGCAAACAGG